GAUGAACGCUGGCGGCGUGCCUAAUACAUGCAAGUCGAGCGAAAGGACGGGAAGCUCGCGCCCCUACGGUUAGCGGCUGACGGGUGAGUAAGACAUGGAUAAGCUACCUCUAAGACUGGGGUGACUACGGAAAGACGGUGACACUAAUAGCUCAUAUGUUCUACGGGUUGGAUCAAAAGAGCUAGACGCUUUUGCCGUUUCAUAUAGCUGGAGCCGCGCUGCAUUAGCUAGUUGGUAAGGUAACGGCUAACCAAGGCAACGAUGCGUAGCCGACCUGAGAGGAUGAUCAGCCACACUGGAACUGAGACACGGUCCAGACUCCUACGGGAGGCAGCAGUGGGGAAUAUUCCGCAAUGGGCGCAAGCCUGACGGAGCAACGCCGCGUGAGUGAUGAAGGUCUUCGGGUCGUAAAGCUCUGUUAUUAGGGAAGAAAAGAUGUGUAUGAAUCUGCGGAUAUCCUGACGGUACCUAAACAGUAAGCAACGGCUAACUUCGUG
RNAcentral lists this ribosomal RNA (497 nucleotides) under uncultured bacterium. Its description in RNAcentral is "partial 16S ribosomal RNA". It matches the Rfam family "Bacterial small subunit ribosomal RNA", at positions 28 to 507 of the family's 1533-position model. The record is from RNAcentral.